AGUAAAUGAAUACUGGACUGAUUAAACUGUAUCCAGAAAUUUGGUAAAUAUUAUCAUUUGCCAAUGUUCCGAUUGAAACAUAUAGUAAUAUGUCAUUUGUGUUUCCUGGAGCUAUUGCGUCGUAUAAAAUCUGUAUUUAAUAGUCUGACAAAGAAUCCGACAUUAAUUAAAAAUAUGACUAUCACGGAUAUUGAAAGGAAACAAAAAUACGCAACAUGUCUUCGCAUAAGA
Molecule: long non-coding RNA, 231 nt
Filed under: Mytilus galloprovincialis (Mediterranean mussel)
Lineage: Eukaryota; Metazoa; Mollusca; Bivalvia; Mytilida; Mytilidae
Source: RNAcentral